RNAcentral lists this ribosomal RNA (497 nucleotides) under uncultured bacterium. RNAcentral's name for it is "partial 16S ribosomal RNA". It matches the Rfam family "Bacterial small subunit ribosomal RNA", at positions 28 to 507 of the family's 1533-position model. The record is from RNAcentral.
GACGAACGCUGGCGGCGUGCCUAAUACAUGCAAGUUGAGCGCUGAAGGUUGGUACUUGUACCAACUGGAUGAGCAGCGAACGGGUGAGUAACGCGUGGGGAAUCUGCCUUUGAGCGGGGGACAACAUUUGGAAACGAAUGCUAAUACCGCAUAAAAACUUUAAACACAAGUUUUAAGUUUGAAAGAUGCAAUUGCAUCACUCAAAGAUGAUCCCGCGUUGUAUUAGCUAGUUGGUGAGGUAAAGGCUCACCAAGGCGAUGAUACAUAGCCGACCUGAGAGGGUGAUCGGCCACAUUGGGACUGAGACACGGCCCAAACUCCUACGGGAGGCAGCAGUAGGGAGUCUUCGGCAAUGGACGAAAGUCUGACCGAGCAACGCCGCGUGAGUGAAGAAGGUUGUCGGAUCGUAAAACUCUGUUGGUAGAGAAGAACGUUGGUGAGAGUGGAAAGCUCAUCAAGUGACGGUAACUACCCAGAAAGGGACGGCUAACUACGUG